UUAAAGAGCAAGUCGAAACGAGACAACGACGCGAAACUUGACUUGGUAAGAGUUGGUCGAAAUUGUGAAGCUAAUUCUGAAGCUAUUAGCUAACACUGCUAACGGCCGCCAAAGACAGAAAGAUCUCACAGGUGGUACCGCCAGGUUUUGGUGCAAACCCAAAAGAAUUUUCAAUUGGCCGCACUACACCAUUCCACUGACAAAGAAAAAUAGUCAUCAGCAUUUUAAAGUGAUUUUUUGGAGCAAAUCCAGCAGAAUUUUCAACUGGAAUCACAGUACCAUUCUACUGAUGGGGAAAAACAGUUAUCAGCAUUUUAAAGUGAUGU
Amphiprion ocellaris (clown anemonefish) is the source of this 326-nucleotide long non-coding RNA. NCBI's taxonomy places the organism in Eukaryota, Metazoa, Chordata, Actinopteri, Pomacentridae. The record is from Ensembl.